GGGUCGUAAACUUCUUUUAUAUGGGAAUAAAGUUUUCCACGUGUGGAAUUUUGUAUGUACCAUAUGAAUAAGGAUCGGCUCACUCCGUGCCAGCAGCCGCGGUAAUACGGAGGAUCUGAGCGUUAUCCGGAUUUAUUGGGUUUAAAGGGAGCGUAGGUGGAUUGUUAAGUCAGUUGUGAAAGUUUGCGGCUCAACCGUAAAAUUGCAGUUGAAACUGGCAGUCUUGAGUACAGUAGAGGUGGGCGGAAUUCGUGGUGUAGCGGUGAAAUGCUUAGAUAUCACGAAGAACUCCGAUUGCGAAGGCAGCUCACUAGACUGUCACUGACACUGAUGCUCGAAAGUGUGGGUAUCAAACAGGAUUAGAUACCCUGGUAGUCCACACAGUAAA
This 388-nucleotide ribosomal RNA is filed under the name uncultured bacterium. RNAcentral's name for it is "bacterial SSU rRNA". It matches the Rfam family "Bacterial small subunit ribosomal RNA", at positions 420 to 806 of the family's 1533-position model. The record is from RNAcentral.